UCUCCUGAAUCUUCUCGUGACCUACACCUCUCUUUUCUGUUAAAAAAAGGGGUCCACCUUCCUCUCCCGCAUCUUCUACAUCGGCGUUCUUGCGUCUCGGCUCUUCCUCUGCCCAAUCCCCUCUAUCGAGCAGAGCUCUCCGCUGCACGAGCUCCCCAUUGCCGCCGGCCUGCCCCCGAGCCCGCACGGCCGCACUUAUCCCAUCCGCCAGCCUUGCCCCCAUCCUUCCCAUGGCUGCGCAACCUAGGCGAGUAGGGUUUGCUCCGGGAGUCACGCACAGGAGCGGAACGACAUUGCGGCGUUGGCGAUUCUUCGGAGAGGACCGGCGCCGAUCCGUGCUGGGGCGCAGCAGCGUCGGAGUGCUCGGCCGCUCGCUGGAAUCGUGGUGGAUGGGAAUUAGUGGAGGAGACCGACGCUGUGCCGGACGGCAAGCAAAGUCAGUGCUGAAAAUUCAAAUGGCACCAAAAAGGCUCAUGAGAGAUCCAGGUUGCCGCAGGAAAAGAGAUGUGCACAACGUCAAGUACAGUAAGAAUCUGUGAUAUAGCAGUAUCUCAACCUGGCCUUCACAUUCAAUAGAAAAUUGCUAUACACAUUAAUUUGGUUCUUCCACUUUCAUAUCAUAUACCUAUCAUCAUCCAUAAUUCCAUUCAUAACUGAUCCAGCUCCACUGCUGCAUUACAGAUAGAUCAUAAACGAAGGCCUUAAUCCAAUCCAGGCUCUCACUGAACGUGCUUUUCGCAAAUAUCUGAUCAUCUCAACUUCAAAUUUCCGGCGACGCUGCAAUCUAACCCAUAUUUUCUGUCCGAUCAAAUUAGCACGGUGACUGAUGCCGGCAUGCUACCAUAUUUGUUUCAUGAAUCACGGUGGAUUACUACUAUCUAACAUCUGGCCUCUAUUAUUUAUGGGUCUGAUGGAUGUGCUAAUUCAUAAAGCCUUAGAAGUAUCAAUUAGCAACACUGAAAUUAAGAUCAAUAUACAUUGUUAAGUAGAUGGAUCUGAUAUAUGUAGGAUAAUCUUAUUUCCACACAUCUGAAAAUAAUAUUUUUUAUGACAGAUCUUAAAUUACUACAUCAAUAUGCAGUGUGUGGUUGUAGGUCCCUAGCGAAGGUAUUGUCCAUGUCACUAUUGAAUCAAGGUACUGCAGAAAUUCAAUUCCUUCAGGUUAGCUUCUACAUGGCUUAUAUUAUUUAGUUCUUUCACUUCCAUAAUUAUAUAUACCUAUCAUAAUCCAUAAUCCUGUUUGCAGCUGUCCCCAUGUGCUUCUUGCCUACUUUUUAAUGUGCAAUACUUAUUAAUUCGUUUCUUCCUUAUAUAUAUAUUUGGUGGAUUAGUUCAUGCAUGUUGCCAAUUUUUAUGUCGACUGAAGUUGCAUGUUUUCCUCUUCAUCUCUGUAGUUUUCAUAGACACAUACUGCUAUUAGUUACUUACACAACUUAACCCACAUCUAUAGGUUAGUUUCUGAACUACUAUAUAAUACUGAUUUCUUUUCAAUAUCCUCAUAUUUACAUGUUACUUCCCUUGAAAGAUUGUAAACGCAUUCAUAUCUCUAUUUAGUGUGAAUCGCCAUUUUAAAAAUUAAUAAUUACAUAGGUAAAAUAUGAUCUUUUAAUUGCCAUGUCUGAUGUAGUAAAAAAAGAACCUGGAGGGAUGUCAGAUGCAUAAGUUGUGUAAAGUCGAAUAAAUAGUACUACAUGUAAAGAAAAACAAUCAAUUUUGGAGCAUCAAACAACCCUAGCCAUCUAAUAUACAGGAGAAGUGCAUUUGACUUUCCAGAUAUUAGUAGCCGGUGCCUCUGUAGGUAGCUUAGUUUUAGCAUUAGCUAUUUCGUUGUAACCGGAGAGUUCCUAAUUUGUAUUGCUCUAAAUGAUUUCACGCAAGAGCAUGUGGGUACCCACUAUUGAUUUUUCCUUCCAACUCCAUAUUAUUUUCCGAUAACACUUCAAAUAGAUACGACUGAUUCAUUAAUUUAUUAACAGUUGAGAACUUCUAUCUACUUGGUGUACCAGCACCAGAUAGUUUCUUAUUCUUGAUUAACAGUUCAAGUAACUCUAUGGUAGUCAUUGUUCACUAAUGUUUGCAAUGCGAAAAGUUCAAAUUGAUGUACUAAUUGUGUUGCAACUCUAUGGUACUCAUUGUUCGCUAAUGUUAGCACCUUUCAUGUUUUACCAUCCAUAAUGUUAGUAUGCAAUCCUGCACUUUUGAUCUAUUUUACUUCAUGCACUAAAUUAUCAUGAGAUAGAAAUAUAGAUAUGAUUACUCUGUCUGGGGUUUUUCUUUGGUUGCCAAAUAUAAAUCCUUGCAAAUAAAUUGUGGUCUCAUUGUUAUUUUAUGCCGAUUGAUGAAAUGAUCAGGGAUGCUAAAAGUUUUGUUCUGAAUGCAAGAAUUGCAUUAUUUAGUCAUAUGUGUAGACAAAGAAGUUGGCCCAUACAUAUACCAACAACUUGCUGUUCAAGGUCUAAACUUUUUCUUGCACCACUAAUGUGAGCUUACCUUCUAUCAAGGCACCCAUAGCUGAAAGAGAAGAUGGAUGAAUGCCUACAUGCAGUUUUGCCACAGUGAAGUUGCUGUACUCAAGACUCAAAGAUUCAGCAUUAGAGAAAGCCUGAAGUUGACUUUCGUUGCAACACAAACAGGAAGAGUGGCCCAGCCAACCGCCCAACAUCCUCCAACAAGAUAACAACUCCAUAGCUCUGGCGGCUAAGAGAAGAAGAGGAGGAGGAAACCGAAUCAGACUUCGAUUUAUUCAGAGGACAAUAGCUAACUGUUCCAAGACCAGGGAACCGCAACACCACCAGUCCUACCGUUAUACUUUGCUUUGCUAUCUCCUCUACGCUUUAGUUGGAAAAUGUAUCAACCUGCUUAUGUAGUAUUUAUGCAAGACAAUCCAAUCGGUUCUGCAAAUAACUGUCAUGUCAGCAAAUUUAAUGGAUUACGCAUUUAGGUUUUGAUACAUACAUUAUAAAUUAGUAGUACCACCUAACCUUCCCUCC
Molecule: long non-coding RNA, 2990 nt
Organism: Lolium perenne
Lineage: Eukaryota; Viridiplantae; Streptophyta; Magnoliopsida; Poales; Poaceae
Source: RefSeq, a predicted model, not a curated record